RNAcentral lists this microRNA precursor (77 nucleotides) under Mus caroli (Ryukyu mouse). RNAcentral describes it as "miRNA (MGP_CAROLIEiJ_G0007980.1)". The record is from RNAcentral. Lineage: Eukaryota; Metazoa; Chordata; Mammalia; Rodentia; Muridae.
CCUGCCUCAGCUUCCUGAGUUGCUGGGAUUACAGAUCUGAGCCAUUAGGCUCAGCCUAAAUCCACUUUUGUGUCCAG